RNAcentral lists this long non-coding RNA (1311 nucleotides) under Dromaius novaehollandiae (emu). RNAcentral's name for it is "lncRNA (ENSDNVG00000016413.1)". The record is from RNAcentral. Lineage: Eukaryota; Metazoa; Chordata; Aves; Casuariiformes; Dromaiidae.
AGAGAGAUGGAAUGUAAACCCGAGAGUUUCAAGUCAUAUUGUGAAAAUUACAGUUAAGCUUUAGAGUACAAUAUCUUGAACAGGUUUUAUAAAUAUAGCUUGCCAGUUACAGAGCUUUAAAUUUUUAUAUGCUGCUCAGGAUGAAUAAUUAACUGGCUGAAAUCUAUGGCUAAUUGUAUUUUCAUUUGAUUUGACUUUUCAAGCGCAAAUGUUACAUGCUAGUUUUAUACUAAUGAUUACCCAUUUCUCUGUAGAUCUCUGCAGAUCUUGCUGUUGCCAGUAAGAAAGUCUAACAUCAUUCUUUCACUUGUAAGAGAAUCUGGUAAUUCGAGCAUCAGCUACUGCUCUGCAAAUUCUGUCUACCUUGAAGAGCUCUGUGAAAAUAUAAUCUGAUGGCUCAGGAUGCUGUACGAUUUUUCCUCRCUUCCACUCUCCUCCGCUCUCUAGUGGCUACUAACACACGCGCUGCUUAAAUGAUAACUGUAAAUGAGAGAACACUGCGUUCCCUGCAAACCUGAAGACUUCUCUGCCAUUGUUUUAUGGGCAAAUAUGUGUACAUGAUGCAAAGAAAGGAGAGGAAUGGGAGGCAAACGGAGCAGCUGUGCAGCGCCCCAACGCGUGACUGGGAUUUACCGUCUGGGCAGCGGUGCUGGGCUGCCAAGGGUUUCCGCCAGCGCUUCAUCUCCCACCUGCCUGCUGUGAGGUGCCCUCGCAGGACCUCCUCGCACUGUUCCACCCACAGGAUGAGGCGUAGAGGAGGCUUCUUAAAGAACAGCGUUUGAAAACACAUGCUUUCAGGCACUAACAUGUUUCUGGAUAACAAGUUUCUYUUAAAAGGAGUGUUGAAGUACGUGGAAACAUUUGAUUAGCUGAAGUUGUGCAAUGCUGCCUCUCCGCAAACAGUGAGAUACAAAACUUGGAGAAACUCUUCACUGCUGAAAAUGGUCRUGUCAUUUCCAGGGUGGAUGUACUGGAAAGAAAGAUUUGGUUUAAAUCAAGUCUAAAAUACAGCAACUGCCAACUCUCAGUUUUAAAUAGACUUUUUAAUUUUUUUUUCCUGUUCUGCUGACCUUUUCCAGUGUAAUUCCAUUCUGUUCAGUCUCUGGGUUUUUACAUUUACAUAAAAUCUUCCAACAGUAAAUUAAGUUACAUGGCUAAAAUCAGUCGUCUAUAGUUUGUUUUCUCUUUCUUAAUUCUAUCCCAUCCCUGAGAAAUGGGGGGAGGGUGGCUGGGAAUAAUAGGAAAGAAAGACUAUUAAUGCAGUAUUUCUGAUAUGGUGAGAAUGCAAAAGUACUGCAGCAGGCUCUUGUG